RNAcentral lists this long non-coding RNA (1452 nucleotides) under Mus musculus (house mouse). RNAcentral's name for it is "long non-coding RNA chr13:4059571-4061023". The record is from RNAcentral. Lineage: Eukaryota; Metazoa; Chordata; Mammalia; Rodentia; Muridae.
GGCGUUUAUCCUGUGAAAACAGAAGUCUCAAGACCUGCGUGGUUGCAUGAGUAACAAGCUAUGAAUUCUGUAUCCCCACGUGUGGUACUAAACGAUGGUCACUUCAUCCCUGCACUGGGGUUUGGAACCACUGUGCCCGAUAAGGUAAGAGUUGUGUCUUGGGCUUAAGAGUUUAUAGGAGAAGAGAUCAAGGAUGUGCUUUUAGAUUUGCUCCUGUUUGCUUCAGGCUCACAUUAGACAUCAGGUCUGCAGAUUACAGCUAUUCAUGUGUAAUAGAGGAGUCAGACUUGUUACUGUUCCUUGGAGACUUAUCAUGUGGACAAUAUUGUUUAUUCUGGGCUCUGCUCUGUUUCUCCUUUAGUUUCAGUCUAUUUUACAGUAAAUGAAAACCAAUCAGUACUACUGCUGUGCUUUGAAUUGAUUACAAAAGGAUUAGUGACAUGGAUUUUUUUUUCUUUCUGUGCUUCAAAUAACUAUUCCUCUCAGAAGCCAGAAAACAAAUUUGUAGUAGAACUUAUUGGAGUUUAUGACAAAUGAUCAGACAAAGAGCAGAGUCUGAGUCCACAGCACAAACUUCAGACCUGCACUGAAGUAGAAUUUCUUUCCUACUUUCACUUUAGAAGCAUUUACCUAAAAAGAAAAUAGAACACUAUUUUUGGGGUUAAUUAUAAUUUAACAAAGCAACUCUAAAUCCUUGCUCCAUGAUCCCAUUCAUGACAUUUGAAUCAAAAUACAACAGGAGGUUUUCCUGGGGAAAUGUUUUCAUUCUGAUCUCAUCCUCUGGUUACUUACUCAGUGCGUGGCAAAGACUGGCACUGCAAGCUUAAGUCGCAAUUUUCUCAUGCAGAAGACAUGAUCAUAGAGAUACUUUGACCUCUUCUGAUAAGAAUUUUUACUUAGCAUGCAUGCUUGAAAGAGAGGUAAGGAGCAAAGAUAUCACAGCAGCUCUAGUUUCAGUAAAUCUGUAGGAGUCAGUACAGUUUAGAGAAGGGCAGGGCUGCGUUGUGUAAACUGGAACUCAGUGUUUGAGCUCAGUGGUUAAGAGCACUGGCUCCUGUGGCAGAGGAACUAGGUUCAAGUCCUGGCACCCUCAUGGUGGCUUACAACUGUCUGUAAUUCCAGGUCCAGGAGAUUCAAAAUCCUCUUCUUGUCUCUGCUGACACCAGGCAACAUAGACAUGCAGGCUGGCAAAACACUUAAGAUAAAAUAGUGUUUUUAAAUGGAAAACUAAAUUAUACUAUUUUACGUAGAUUGAAUACAUUAGAGAAAACAAUUCCUGAAACAUUUUGUCGGGCCUUUGAUGAAUUGAGUCUGAUUGGUCCCUGGGCUCACAGGGCAGAAGAGAAAAGGUACACACAGGACUUCCUUAGAUAUUCAGAUCACACACAAAAACAUGCUCUCUCUCUCUCUCUCUCUCUCUCUCUCAUGUGCAUGUGCACAAAUAACAAAAAU